Molecule: ribosomal RNA, 1317 nt
Filed under: Triticum aestivum (bread wheat)
Lineage: Eukaryota; Viridiplantae; Streptophyta; Magnoliopsida; Poales; Poaceae
Description: partial small subunit ribosomal RNA
Source: RNAcentral
AUGGAGAUACUUAACUGUAAGGGCGUUCGUUUUAGCUUGACAGGCAUCAAUGGAACCAGGGCCAACCAGUUAGUAAAGGUUAGCCAAUCGAGUAUACAAAUUGCCCUCCAACCAUUCAAGAUAGGAUCCCAACCUCAACGAGUUGGCCGGGCAAGGUCAGUAACAUGCUGUGAGUACUCUCCUGAUCCUGCUAGCAAGAGGCAUGAGAGGUAUCAGCAACAACCACAAAAUGUUGAUCUCCCAGAAUUACACCCGAAGAACAAAAAGAAGCCAUUUCCUGUCCCAAUUAAAAAGAUGCUGCAAGCUUCCCGCAAAGAUAAGAGGCUUGCACAGAUGAGGAUAGAGAAGCCUCUUGAGCCCCCAAAGAACGGCUUGCUUUUACCAGAGCUUGUCCCUGUUGCCUACGAAGUCCUUGAGAACUGGAAAGUGCUCAUCAGAGGCAUCUCUCAACUUCUGAAUGUUGUUACAGUUUAUGGUUGCAGAAAAUGCCCUCAAGUCCAUGUUGGCCCAGUUGGCCACCAGAUACAAGAUUGCUAUGGUUCAGGAAGCCAGCGACGAAAUAGUCACCACUCUUGGGUCAGAGGAUCCAUCAACGAUGUGCUCAUCCCGAUCGAAUCUUACCAUCUUUUUGACCCAUUUGGGCGGAGGGUCAAGCAUGACACCAGGUUUGACUUCGACAGGAUUCCAGCAAUUGUUGAGCUAUGCAUUCAGGCUGGUGUCGACCUACCACAAUAUCCCACAAGGAGACGGACUGCUCCUGUGCGGAUGAUUGGCAAGAAGGUUAUUGACCGUGGCGGAGUUGUCGAUGAGCCUAAGCCACACCGAUUGGAGGACUGUAUAUCUCUUCUUGCUGAGCUUGACACAUUUAGCAACCAACAGGGACAGUCACCCGCGCCGGCCAAUGUGAAAGAGCAUGCAGAGAGGACACUGAAAGCAUACUGUGAUGUCCGGCGGGGUGUUACGCAGCUGAUGAGCAAGUAUACGGUAAAAGCAUGCGGGUACUGCUCUGAGGUCCACGUUGGUCCAUGGGGACACAAUGUGAAGCUCUGUGGGGCUUUCAAGCACCAAUGGCGAGACGGCAAGCACGGGUGGCAGGAUGCUGUUGUGGAUGAGGUCAUACCACCGAACUAUGUGUGGCAUGUCCCUGACCCCACUGGCCCUCCUCUCAGAUCCUCUCUAAGGAGUUUCUAUGGCAAAGCUCCGGCCGUGGUCGAGCUAUGUGUGCAGGCGGGAGCUGAAAUACCUGCAGAGUACCGGCCAAUGAUGAGGACUGAUAUCAUCAUCCCAGACCCCGAUGAAGCUUGGAUGGCUGCAUGA